RNAcentral lists this ribosomal RNA (1305 nucleotides) under uncultured bacterium. Its description in RNAcentral is "bacterial SSU rRNA". It matches the Rfam family "Bacterial small subunit ribosomal RNA", at positions 28 to 1380 of the family's 1533-position model. The record is from RNAcentral.
AACGUACGCUGGCGGCACGCCUAACACAUGCAAGUCGAACGAAGUAGCAAUACUUAGUGGCAGACGGGUGAGUAACAUGUAGGUAUCUGCCCUUUGGCCUGGAAUAACACGAGGAAACUUGUGCUAAUACCGGAUAAGUCUUUACGGAGAAAGCUUUAUGCACCAUUGGAUGAGCCUGCACUUGAUUAGUUUGUUGGUGGGGUAAUGGCCUACCAAGACUGUGAUCAAUAGCUGAUUUGAGAGGAUGAUCAGCCACAUUGGGACUGAGACACGGCCCAAACUCCUACGGGAGGCAGCAGUGGGGAAUCUUGCACAAUGGAGGAAACUCUGAUGCAGCGAUGCCGCGUGAGUGAAGAAGGCCCUUGGGUUGUAAAGCUCUUUCGUCGGGGAAGAAAAUGACUGUACCCGAAUAAGAAGGUCCGGCUAACUUCGUGCCAGCAGCCGCGGUAAUACGAAGGGACCUAGCGUAGUUCGGAAUUACUGGGCUUAAAGAGUUCGUAGGUGGUUGAAAAAGUUAGUGGUGAAAUCCCAGAGCUUAACUCUGGAACUGCCAUUAAAACUUUUCAGCUAGAGUAUGAUAGAGGAAAGCAGAAUUUCUAGUGUAGAGGUGAAAUUCGUAGAUAUUAGAAAGAAUACCAAUUGCGAAGGCAGCUUUCUGGAUCAUUACUGACACUGAGGAACGAAAGCAUGGGUAGCGAAGAGGAUUAGAUACCCUCGUAGUCCAUGCCGUAAACGAUGUGUGUUAGACGUUGGAAAUUUAUUUUCAGUGUCGCAGGGAAACCGAUAAACACACCGCCUGGGGAGUACGACCGCAAGGUUAAAACUCAAAUGAAUUGACGGGGACCCGCACAAGUAGUGGAGCAUGUGGUUUAAUUCGAAGAUACGCGCAGAACCUUACCAACACUUGACAUGUUCGUCGCGACUCUAAGAGAUUAGAGUUUUCGGUUCGGCCGGACGAAACACAGGUGCUGCAUGGCUGUCGUCAGCUCGUGUCGUGAGAUGUUGGGUUAAGUCCCGCAACGAGCGCAACCCUCACUUUUAGUUGCCAUCAUUAAGUUGGGCACUCUGAAAGAACUGCCAGUGAUAAGCUGGAGGAAGGUGGGGAUGACGUCAAGUCCUCAUGGCCCUUACGUGUUGGGCUACACACGUGCUACAAUGGUAUCUACAACAGGAAGCAAGACUGCGAAGUUAAGCAAAUCCCUAAAAGAUACCUCAGUUCGGAUUGCACUCUGCAACUCGAGUGCAUGAAGCUGGAAUUACUAGUAAUCGUGGAUCAGCGUGCCACGGUGAAUGCGUUCCCGGGUC